UACAGAGGGUGCGAGCGUUGUUCGGAAUCAUUGGGCGUAAAGCGCUUGUAGGCGGCUUGUUAAGUCGCGUGUGAAAUCCCUUGGCUCAACCAAGGAAGUGCGCGCGAAACUGGCGAGCUCGAGUGCCGGAGAGGGUCGCGGAAUUCCCGGUGUAGAGGUGAAAUUCGUAGAUAUCGGGAGGAACACCAGUGGCGAAGGCGGCGGCCUGGACGGACACUGACGCUGAGACGCGAAAGCGUGGGGAGCAAACAGG
This 253-nucleotide ribosomal RNA is filed under the name uncultured bacterium. Its description in RNAcentral is "partial 16S ribosomal RNA". It matches the Rfam family "Bacterial small subunit ribosomal RNA", at positions 524 to 776 of the family's 1533-position model. The record is from RNAcentral.